RNAcentral lists this transfer RNA (85 nucleotides) under Acidithiobacillus ferrooxidans ATCC 23270. It matches the Rfam family "tRNA". Rfam says of the family: Transfer RNA (tRNA) molecules are approximately 80 nucleotides in length. Their secondary structure includes four short double-helical elements and three loops (D, anti-codon, and T loops). Further hydrogen bonds mediate the characteristic L-shaped molecular structure. tRNAs have two regions of fundamental functional importance: the anti-codon, which is responsible for specific mRNA codon recognition, and the 3' end, to which the tRNAs corresponding amino acid is attached (by aminoacyl-tRNA synthetases). tRNAs cope with the degeneracy of the genetic code in two manners: having more than one tRNA (with a specific anti-codon) for a particular amino acid; and 'wobble' base-pairing, i.e. permitting non-standard base-pairing at the 3rd anti-codon position. The record is from Rfam by way of RNAcentral. Lineage: Bacteria; Pseudomonadati; Pseudomonadota; Acidithiobacillia; Acidithiobacillales; Acidithiobacillaceae.
GCCUCUAUGGUGAAACGGUAAACGCGCCGGCCUCAGAAGCCGGAGCCAUCAACAUGGCAUGCAGGUUCGAGUCCUGCUAGGGGCA